Trichonephila clavipes is the source of this 75-nucleotide non-coding RNA. NCBI's taxonomy places the organism in Eukaryota, Metazoa, Arthropoda, Arachnida, Araneae, Nephilidae. The record is from the annotation of a GenBank genome assembly.
GUCCCUGUAGAGCAUUUUGGAUAGCGCGUUGGACUUCUGAUCCAAAGGUCGUGGGUUUGAAUACUACCUGGGAUG